RNAcentral lists this ribosomal RNA (253 nucleotides) under uncultured microorganism. RNAcentral describes it as "partial 16S ribosomal RNA". It matches the Rfam family "Bacterial small subunit ribosomal RNA", at positions 524 to 776 of the family's 1533-position model. The record is from RNAcentral.
UACGGAGGGUGCAAGCGUUAAUCGGAAUUACUGGGCGUAAAGCGUACGUAGGCGGCCCGUUAAGACAGGUGUGAAAUCCCUGGGCUCAACCUAGGAAUUGCGCUUGUGACUGGCGGGCUCGAGUACGGUAGAGGGGGGUGGAAUUCCUGGUGUAGCAGUGAAAUGCGUAGAGAUCAGGAGGAACACCGAUGGCGAAGGCAGCCCCCUGGGCCUGUACUGACGCUCAUGCACGAAAGCGUGGGGAGCAAACAGG